GUAGGUGGCAAGCGUUGUCCGGAAUUAUGGGCGUAAAGCGCGCGCAGGCGGUUCUUUAAGUCUGAUGUGAAAGCCCACGGGCUCAACCGUGGAGGGUCAUUGGAAACUGGAGAACUUGAGUACAGAAGAGGAAAGCGGAAUUCCACGUGUAGCGGUGAAAUGCGUAGAGAUGUGGAGGAACACCAGUGGCGAAGGCGGCUUUCUGGUCUGUAACUGACGCUGAGGCGCGAAAGCGUGGGGAGCAAACAGGAUUAGAUACCCUGGUAGUCCACGCCGUAAACGAUGAGUGCUAAGUGUUAGGGGGUUUCCGCCCCUUAGUGCUGCAGCUAACGCAUUAAGCACUCCGCCUGGGGAGUACGGCCGCAAGGCUG
This 371-nucleotide ribosomal RNA is filed under the name uncultured organism. RNAcentral describes it as "partial 16S ribosomal RNA". It matches the Rfam family "Bacterial small subunit ribosomal RNA", at positions 527 to 896 of the family's 1533-position model. The record is from RNAcentral.